UUUUUAUAAUUAGUCCAGGUAUAUUUCCCCCUUUUGGCGAAGGAGCGUGAUGCAGGUCCACCAGACACCCUUUGAUUGAGGAGGGUAUUUUUGGGAGUUGCAGUGUUGUGCAGAAGAUCAUGUCUGUGCCCUGUGGUGCUGUCAGCUGUGACAGAUCCCAGAUGCAGCCGCUACUGUAUGGCAGAUUGAGUUUCUCAGCAGAAAACUCUCUCCCUCCCUCCUAAACGUCUUCAAAAACCUUCUCCAGAUACUGCAGGUCACUUCGGCUGAAUCGGGAAAAGUUGAACAAAAGUUUUCCUUUCGCUUCUUCUCUCUGGCUCUCUCCGCUAGGGAGCCUCCCUCUGGUCCCAGCCCUGGGUGCCAACUGUGGGCCUGCCAGGCUGUCCCCGGCCGCUUGUGACCACAACAAGCCCCGCUGCUCUGCUAAUGGGAACAGAGGUUGGCAAGAAGGACAGAGAACCCGCAGAUAAGGUGUCUAUUGCAAUAUCAGCUGUCACACAAUGAAAACGGAUACUGCUAUUAGUAAUUUGCAAAGGAAAAUCUACACAUUUUUUGCAGUUUGAUUUCUGCUCUGAAUAUACGGGAUUGGAUUUUCAGAAGUGGUCAGAGCUGGCCCUCAUGUACUUUGAUGGGAGUAGACUUAAGUCAACAUUGUGGCUCCUGCAACACCACCAGUCUUCAGAUGUGCAACAUAGAUUGUACCCACUUCAAACAAUCUAAAACCUCGUUUAUAAUUUUUCAUACAAGGGGCCUCACUUUAAAACAAGCGCUGCAGGCAAGAAGGUAUGUGGCACACAUCUUCGGUUCCCUUGGUGGACAAGAAAGGACUACAACACAAACACAUCUAAUGUGAUAAGUUCCAAGACGACUAGUCUCAUCAGAACAACUACCACCACAGCUGACACUAGACAGACACUUGCUGGCCAUCUCAUACAAAGGCCUGUCACAUAUCCUGGGCGGCAGGAAGCAGAGGAUGUCAAAUAAUAGACUUCUUCUCUAGGUAAGUACAGUUUCAUGAAGGGAUUUUUGUUUGGUUAUUUUUAAAAUAAAAGUCUCCUCACCGUGAAAGUAAGGCUGAAUAAUAAACACAAGUGAGACACUAUCGUGUGCUGAGGAAUACAUACAAAGAGCUGGCUCUCACCUCUCAAUGGGUGAAACACUGACUCUCCUAUUCCUUCCAAAGCUAAACCCAGAUUGUGUCUCUGAGUGAAGUCAACUAUAUACACUAGCUCCACCUCUAAUAACCAGAAACCUGACCAUGAUAGGGGUCGGUUUUAUAAAUAAUCUCUUCCAUAUUUGAAUUGAGAGAGAAGCUGUGGAUCAGAUAAGGUUUUUAAAUUUACAGAAAGGAGACAACAAGGAAAGGAAAAGGAGGAAAAUAUGGGGGCCAUGCUAGGAAAUAAUGUUGACCUCUCCCCCCCAUUCAAUUUACCAUAUCCCAAAUUAGGGACUGGUCCAAUGUCCAUUGAAAUUAUGGAUCUCUUUGCAGUCACUUCAAUGGGCAUUGAUAUAGAUCCUCAGGCCUUGUCUACACUACAAGGGGAGAUUGAUCAAAGUUAUGCAACUUCAGCUAUGUUAUUCAUGGAGCUGAAUUCUAUGUACUUACAUCUACUUACUGUGGGGUCCACACUAUGCUAUGUCGACGGGAGACACUCUCCUGUUGACUCCCCUUGUUCUUCUCAUUCAAGUAGAGUACAGGACUCACGGGAGAGCGAUCUGUGGUCGAUUUAGCGGGUCUUCACUAGACCCACUACAUCGACCACUCAUGCAUCGAUCGCUGUGUGUCAAUUCCCCAGUAAGUGUAGACAAGCCCUAGAGAGUAAUGGGGAAAGAAUUGGGACGGGGAAGGAGAACAAAAACAAAAGACAAAACAGAACUUUCCCUUGGAUCUUUCUAGGACAGGAACUACUUCAUGUCCUUGUAACAGGGCAAGCUCCUCUCCCACCCUCAGGUCCCUCACAAACAGUCUUGGAGACCUCUUGAUUGUCAAUACGUCUGUGUGUUUUUAUUUGUUACCUCCAUCAAGCCACCAUCACAAUCCCUAUGCAGUUCUUGUAUCUACAGUGUCCUUCAAUCCUCAGCCCUAUCUCCAAGAAGAGCCAGCACUCUCACCAGCCAGAGCUCUGACUUCUCUUCAAAUCUGCUAACCCUCUCUCUUCCCUUUGCACUGCCUUCCUGUGCUUUUUAAUUACCUUCUCAGGCUAAUUAGGCCCUUAGCUCAUUAAGUCUUCCACCCCUCAACCAGGGCUUCUCUAGGCGAACUAAUUAGUGCCUAAGUGACCAGAGGGCAGGAUCAGUUGCUGGCUCUAGGAGGUCAGUGUUAGGGUUUGUUGGCAAGAGACUGGGAGACUCACAUAGUUACUGACCAUGUUGUACCUGUUGUGAGAAUAAUACAGUAGAACCCUAAUUUUAUGAACUAAUUGGGGAUUGAAUUCAUAGAAUUGAAAAGUUCAUAAAAUCGAACCUUUCAAAAUUACAAUAGGUACAGUGCAUAAAUUAAUUGAUCAGUUGUUUGGUUAGAGUGUACAUAAUACAUGGUAACAAACAUACGCAGUAUGCCUGAUUUUAAUUUGUUUGAGAGAACUGUCUCUCCGGUCUUUGCUACCAAAUUUCUCAGUCCUUUGAAACCUGUGAUUGAAGGUUGACUGAAGAAAGGAAGUCAAUUCUGGCAACAGGAAGAGGAUUUUGGUGGAAGAAAAAUGGUUCAUGUAACUGGUCAUUCGUAAGAAUGAUGUUCAUAAAAUCAGUGUUCUACUGUAUUUCCAGUCCUGGAAUGCUUUCUUGUAGAGGAAGAGAAAAGUAAAACAGAACUCAUUACUAGCCAUGGGUGAAAUGGAGACUAUAAAGAAGAACAGUCAAAGGAUCUGAUCCUUCCUGUGGUUGGAGAGCCUUGCUCUCUGCCCACUCUGCAGUAUGGCAAAUCCCAUUGCCCAAAGGCGUGGAGCAUCCAGAACUCCACAGCUUCAAGCCUCCAGAUUAUUCUCAGUAACUUGCCCCCUUCCUGUGUGUGUUUCUGUGCACUAGGGAAUAGCAUGGCCCUGUGUAAAAAGGAUUGUCUAAGGCUGCACGAAAUCCUCUCUCAUUGUCAUUCUACACCACUAACUGCCUGCAGAAGAAGAAAAUCAGAAACAAAGCGAGGAGAUAAAAUGAGCAGAGUGAGACUGUAAAAAGCCACCUCUUCACUCUGAUGUGGGUUUUCUUCCUCACUAAAGGCUCCCUAUACCCUUCCACUCUAAGUAAAGCACCUGGCAAGUGCAUGCUCUGCAGAUGGCCCAGCACCCGUGCACACAGAGAACAGCCCUGUGUAUCUGGCAUGUAGCUGUUUCAGUUUCUUUCUGCCAGCCCACAGAAGCUUUCCCCCCUCUUCUGCUCCCUUUGUGGUCAGCCUUAUCCUCUGAGAUGUAAACUAGAAAAGCAGAUGUGUAAUCUGGGAAAUUUUCAAACAUUCAGCUUGUAAAGAGCAAGGUAGAUGAACUAAGCUCUUUAAGAGUUCGAUUCAGGAAAAUACUUAAGCAUGUGCUUAAGUCCCAUUGACUUAGGGAAGGCAAAAGAGACUAGUAACUUCAGUGGGUCUUAAGCACGUGCUUAGGUGUCCUUCCUGACUAGAGAUGCCUACCUGAGUCAGGGCCCAAGUUUGUAAUGAUACCACUGUGGAACUGAAAAAGAACUUAGAGUGCUUACUGGAUAGUGGGUAAGUCAGGUAGAACUCCACUCUAGGACAGCAUUUAAGCACACUUGUAAAUUCAUAGUUUUACAGUCAAAAGAGAUCAGUAUGAUCACCUAGUCUGUACAUAAAACAGGCAAUAUAAUUUCUCCCAGCAAUUCCUGUAUCAACCCUACAACUUCUGACUGAGUUAAAGCCAAUCUAUCAGAAAGGUAUCCAAUCUUGGUUUACAGAUUACAAGGGUAUGUCUAUGCUACAGUAUAAUCCCAGGCUCAGACUCAGGCGUAAACCCCACCUCCCUUUCUCUCUAUAGACAAAUCUCUCAGAUUUGGGCUGGGACCUAGGACCCUGUAGGGUGAAGGAUCCAAGCCCAAGUCAAGCCAGAACCCAGGGCUCAAGCUCUAUUGCUUUGCAGUGUAGAUGCAGCCCCUCUUGACUCAGGUCCUGGGAGUCUGCCAAUAGUAUCCCACUACUUCCUUUGUCCUCUCUAUCCCAAGAAUCUCCAGUCAGCUCAAGUAAAAACAGAAGCAACCCCUCAGUAGCAGCUCAGUGAGUCAGCGUUAACUCUUCCAUUCUCUUCUGACCACUGAACUGCAACCACAUCACUGGAGAGCCUUCUGUGUUCGCAAUGGAGACUGAACAGAACAAGCCUUUUGAAAAGCACACUGCUUCAUGGUCAUGGGAGCACAGCCAGACUCGCUGACAUUGUACCUGUUUUAUGAGGAGUGUAACUGGGUGCUGGGCACUGCACCAUUUCAAUUAGAGGUAGUCCAUAGGAGACAAAAAUCACUUGUCUCAACAACUGGGGUUUGAAUUUUUGACCAGAAAUGUGUUCGGGUGGGGAGGAGGAAGGCUGUGGAAUUGUGUGUGUUUACAUGCAGCCAUGAUAGGUUAAACCACAUGUAAGCUAGAGCAGCUUCUUCUCAAUUCCCUCAUGAAUUGUCACCCUCUCUUGGGUACAGAUAGCUGCAAGCUUUUCCUGAAGCAGGAACUCCAGAUCACUUUGUGGGGAAGGUCAUAUUUUCCUGCGCUACCUCAGUAGUUGACCAGCCCACUCCACUCCUAGAUAUGCUGUUCAGUCACUAUAUGUUUGACUAUUUUGGCUGCAUAUGCUGCAGGUUUCCCCCACCAGCAGCUUGGAAUAACAAAUCCCUUUGCCAAUAGGGCACCACAAGAACAGUUAAGUCCUCCAAAAUGUGGAAGGCCUGAAAUGAUAGAAACAGCUUGUAUAGCAAUGCCACUGACUGCCCUGCCCC
Molecule: long non-coding RNA, 4920 nt
Organism: Malaclemys terrapin pileata
Lineage: Eukaryota; Metazoa; Chordata; Testudines; Emydidae
Exons: 5
Source: RefSeq, a predicted model, not a curated record